This 170-nucleotide ribosomal RNA is filed under the name uncultured bacterium. Its description in RNAcentral is "partial 16S rRNA". It matches the Rfam family "Bacterial small subunit ribosomal RNA", at positions 350 to 511 of the family's 1533-position model. The record is from RNAcentral.
AGCAGUAAGGGAAUCUUCCACAAUGGGCGAAAGCCUGAUGGAGCAACGCCGCGUGUGUGAUGAAGGGUUCCGGCUCGUAAAACACUGUUGUAAGAGAAGAAUGACAUUGAGAGUAACUGUUCAAUGUGUGACGGUAUCUUACCAGAAAGGAACGGCUAAAUACGUGCCAG